RNAcentral lists this ribosomal RNA (500 nucleotides) under uncultured bacterium. RNAcentral's name for it is "partial 16S ribosomal RNA". It matches the Rfam family "Bacterial small subunit ribosomal RNA", at positions 30 to 523 of the family's 1533-position model. The record is from RNAcentral.
AUUGAACGCUGGCGGAGUGCUUUACACAUGCAAGUCGAACGGCAGCACGGACUUCGGUCUGGUGGCGAGUGGCGAACGGGUGAGUAAUGUAUCGGAACGUGCCCAGUCGUGGGGGAUAACGUAGUGAAAAUUACGCUAAUACCGCAUACGAUCUAUGGAUGAAAGCGGGGGAUCGCAAGACCUCGCGCGAUUGGAGCGGCCGAUAUCAGAUUAGGUAGUUGGGGGGGUAAAGGCCCACCAAGCCAACGAUCUGUAGCUGGUCUGAGAGGACGACCAGCCACACUGGAACUGAGACACGGUCCAGACUCCUACGGGAGGCAGCAGUGGGGAAUUUUGGACAAUGGACGCAAGUCUGAUCCAGCCAUUCCGCGUGCAGGAUGAAGGCCCUCGGGUUGUAAACUGCUUUUGUACGGAACGAAAAGGUCUCUCUUAAUACGGGGGGCUCAUGACGGUACCGUAAGAAUAAGCACCGGCUAACUACGUGCCAGCCGCCGCCGUAA